GAAAGCCGUGUGAUGGGAAACUGUCACGCACGGUUUGGAGCGGGGGAAAAUCUGGAGGAACGGAUAUGCAGCCUGCGGCUGCAUAUCCCGCCCAAAGGAUUACCUAUCGCUAU
Non-coding RNA from Subdoligranulum variabile DSM 15176, 113 nucleotides. NCBI's taxonomy places the organism in Bacteria, Bacillati, Bacillota, Clostridia, Eubacteriales, Oscillospiraceae. The record is from Rfam.